GUGGGGAAUAUUGGACAAUGGGCGCAAGCCUGAUCCAGCAAUGCCGCGUGUGUGAAGAAGGUCUUCGGAUCGUAAAGCACUUUCGACGGGGACGAUGAUGACGGUACCCGUAGAAGAAGCCCCGGCUAACUUCGUGCCAGCAGCCGCGGUAAUACGAAGGGGGCUAGCGUUGCUCGGAAUUACUGGGCGUAAAGGGCGCGUAGGCGGCUCUGUGAGUCAGGCGUGAAAUUCCUGGGCUUAACCUGGGGACUGCGCUUGAUACUGCAGGGCUUGAGGCCGAGAGAGGGUGGUGGAAUUCCCAGUGUAGAGGUGAAAUUCGUAGAUAUUGGGAAGAACACCGGUGGCGAAGGCGACCACCUGGCUCGGUACUGACGCUGAGGCGCGACAGCGUGGGGAGCAAACAGGAUUAGAUACCCCUGUAGUCC
Molecule: ribosomal RNA, 425 nt
Filed under: uncultured bacterium
Lineage: Bacteria
Description: partial 16S ribosomal RNA
Rfam family: Bacterial small subunit ribosomal RNA
Source: RNAcentral